Molecule: ribosomal RNA, 548 nt
Filed under: Alpheus packardii
Lineage: Eukaryota; Metazoa; Arthropoda; Malacostraca; Decapoda; Alpheidae
Description: partial small subunit ribosomal RNA
Rfam family: Microsporidia small subunit ribosomal RNA
Source: RNAcentral
GGGUAACUGAAAGAGAGUCGUGGUUGGGGUAAGGAGAUUUGUAAGCAUUAAGAUUCGUUAAAUCGAAGGGGUGAAAUCCGAUAAACAAUAGCGUGAUUUGGUGUGAGAAAAGAUUCUGACGCUCUAGAGUCCGAGGCUUAAAAGAGGAUUAGAUACCCUUCUAUGCUCGGUUAUAAUGGUAGGAUCUUUGAGUAGUAAACAGGUAUAAUCUCGAAACUCAAAGGAUUUGGCGGUAUCUAAGUCUAGUUAGAGGAACUUGUGCAGUAAACGAUAAUCCCCGAGUAUCUUGUCUCAUCUGGUGUUCUCAGUUUGUAUACCGCCAUUAUUAGGUAAUUUUUACAGAAAAUUAUCGGGAUUAAGUUAGGUUAAAUAUAUUAGGUCAAGGUGCAGCUCAUGGUGAGAUUGUCGUGAGUUACAGUGAUAUAAGUGGCAUACGAAUGGGUCUAGGGAUUUAGAUUCUGAAGGUGGAUUUAAUAGUAAGAGUUAUAAAUUAAACAAGUCUGAUAGGAGCUCUUAGAUAUGUACACAUCGCCCGUCGUUCUCACUUU